RNAcentral lists this ribosomal RNA (495 nucleotides) under Gynaecoserica cymosa. Its description in RNAcentral is "partial 16S large subunit ribosomal RNA". It matches the Rfam family "Bacterial large subunit ribosomal RNA", at positions 1844 to 2600 of the family's 2925-position model. The record is from RNAcentral. Lineage: Eukaryota; Metazoa; Arthropoda; Insecta; Coleoptera; Scarabaeidae.
UUUAAAGUCUAAUCUGCUCAAUGAGGAGUUAAAUAGCCGCGGUAUUUUGACCGUGCAAAGGUAGCAUAAUAAUUAGUUUUUUAAUUGAAAGCUGGAAUGAAUGAUUGGACGAGAAAAUAACUGUCUCAAUUUAAUUUUAGUAGAAUUUUAUUUUUAAGUAAAAAAGCUUAAAUUGGAUUAAAAGACGAGAAGACCCUGUAGAGUUUAAUAUUUAUUUUAUUAUUAGUUUUUUAGUUUUAGUUUAUUAAUAGUUAAUUAAGUAUUUUAUUGGGGCGAUAGAAAAAUUUAAUUAACUUUUUUUUUUAUAGUACAUUAAUUUAUGUAUUUUUGAUCCAUUUUUUAUGAUUAUAAGAUUAAAUUACCUUAGGGAUAACAGCGUAAUUUUCUUAUAGAGUUCUUAUCGAAAGGAAAGAUUGCGACCUCGAUGUUGGAUUAAAAUUAAUGUAAGGUGUAGAAGCUUUAUUGUUAGGUCUGUUCGACCUUUAAAAUUUUACA